UUACUGUUUACUAUAAAAAAUAUCGCUGUGCUUGAUGCACUAGUGCAUUCUAAAGAUUUACCACCUUAAGUAAACAUGUAAAUAAGGCAACAAGGCGAUGAAAAAAGUCGUUAAGAUUAACUAAUCCUAUUGGUUCGCGAAUCGUUGCAAUCCCCCUGCUAAUUCUAAGCUGAUGAAUAUAAGUAAGGCUCAGUGCACUCGUUCUAAACUGUAAGGUAAAUCGAGCAAGACGAACAGUAGUUUGAAUCGAGAAAAAGCUUCAUAAAAAUAAACCUAAUUUUUCGUCGUACGAUGAUAGCCCGCAGUGUGAGCUGGUUUGGUUUAUUAGUUGUUUUUUACAUCCUGACGUGUGAUACAACAGCGGAAAUUGCCCUUGGCUGCCCUGGGUAUACCUUAUUUGACGGUACUUGCUGUCUGAAUUUAAUAAAAUAUAAUUGCAUAAAAGAGCCUGUUCCCUUGGAAUAUGAAAUUGUUGGAAGUGCUACUAUUAAUUUUUGUAGACCAGUCUAUACUAAUAACUGCACCAAAAUCGAUGGACAUAUUUUCGACGACAUAUCAGAUUGCUGUAUGAAAUGCCCUUCUCUAAUAUGAGCGGGAUUUAUAAGUCGUUCAAUAAUAAACGAACUAACGAUGAUUCCAAUAUUCUAAAAUUGUAAUAUCAUACUUACAUAUAUAUUACAUAUUAAUGAUGCAUAAGAUGUAUUCCUACCGAAGCUGUUGGAACUAAUACUGUUAAUGUUUGUUAGCUGUUCGUUAUCAAUAACUGCAUCGAAAUGACGAGAAGAUAUCAGAUUUCGACAAAAUGUCAGAUUAAUGUAAGAAUUGCACUUUCCUAAUAUGAGCGGGAUUUAUAAAUUGUUCAGUAGUAAACAAA
Long non-coding RNA from Harpegnathos saltator (Jerdon's jumping ant), 874 nucleotides. RefSeq lists it as uncharacterized. NCBI's taxonomy places the organism in Eukaryota, Metazoa, Arthropoda, Insecta, Hymenoptera, Formicidae. The transcript has 3 exons. The record is from RefSeq and is a predicted model, not a curated record.